ACUAUAUUGCCUUGCACAUGUGCAAUUUACAUUAUUAAUUAUGCCUUUCAUUCAACUAUGCAUUUUAUUCAAUUAUAUAACGUUCUUUUAUUAUAUGCAGGAUGUGUGUCUUUGAAGUAAUAGGAUAUUGGGUUCAAAAAUGAGAGUUCGCUAUGAUAUCCAGAGCAACCCAGAUUUAACAAAUGUGCAGGUGUUCUCAAUUCUAAGCCUCACCUUAAUCUUCAAGCAACUGUGUUGUUCCUCUUCAACAGCAAUAUGCAUAGAUGGCAUGGUAUCUUCGCACAGAUUUUGGUUCUUCGUUUCUAAUUUGCAGGUGGUUCGAACCGGGGAGAUGGUGAACUUGGGGGUGAAUAUUGAUAUGAAGGAGCUUUAUAUAGAGGCUGAAAUUUGUUCUCCAAUUUUGAAUAUUGUCUUGGAACUAUGAAUCUUGCUGGAAACGUUUGAAGACCCAAGACUACAUUAAAGAGAUUGUUUUUUCGAAGCAUUU
Molecule: long non-coding RNA, 487 nt
Organism: Ipomoea nil (Japanese morning glory)
Lineage: Eukaryota; Viridiplantae; Streptophyta; Magnoliopsida; Solanales; Convolvulaceae
Exons: 2
Source: RefSeq, a predicted model, not a curated record